RNAcentral lists this ribosomal RNA (1313 nucleotides) under Bacillus sp. (in: firmicutes). Its description in RNAcentral is "bacterial SSU rRNA". It matches the Rfam family "Bacterial small subunit ribosomal RNA", at positions 56 to 1353 of the family's 1533-position model. Lineage: Bacteria; Bacillati; Bacillota; Bacilli; Caryophanales; Bacillaceae. The record is from RNAcentral.
UGCAGUCGAGCGGACAGAUGGGAGCUUGCUCCCUGAUGUUAGCGGCGGACGGGUGAGUAACACGUGGGUAACCUGCCUGUAAGACUGGGAUAACUCCGGGAAACCGGGGCUAAUACCGGAUGCUUGUUUGAACCGCAUGGUUCAAACAUAAAAGGUGGCUUCGGCUACCACUUACAGAUGGACCCGCGGCGCAUUAGCUAGUUGGUGAGGUAAUGGCUCACCAAGGCAACGAUGCGUAGCCGACCUGAGAGGGUGAUCGGCCACACUGGGACUGAGACACGGCCCAGACUCCUACGGGAGGCAGCAGUAGGGAAUCUUCCGCAAUGGACGAAAGUCUGACGGAGCAACGCCGCGUGAGUGAUGAAGGUUUUCGGAUCGUAAAGCUCUGUUGUUAGGGAAGAACAAGUACCGUUCGAAUAGGGCGGUACCUUGACGGUACCUAACCAGAAAGCCACGGCUAACUACGUGCCAGCAGCCGCGGUAAUACGUAGGUGGCAAGCGUUGUCCGGAAUUAUUGGGCGUAAAGGGCUCGCAGGCGGUUCCUUAAGUCUGAUGUGAAAGCCCCCGGCUCAACCGGGGAGGGUCAUUGGAAACUGGGGAACUUGAGUGCAGAAGAGGAGAGUGGAAUUCCACGUGUAGCGGUGAAAUGCGUAGAGAUGUGGAGGAACACCAGUGGCGAAGGCGACUCUCUGGUCUGUAACUGACGCUGAGGAGCGAAAGCGUGGGGAGCGAACAGGAUUAGAUACCCUGGUAGUCCACGCCGUAAACGAUGAGUGCUAAGUGUUANGGGGGUUUCCGCCCCUUAGUGCUGCAGCUAACGCAUUAAGCACUCCGCCUGGGGAGUACGGUCGCAAGACUGAAACUCAAAGGAAUUGACGGGGGCCCGCACAAGCGGUGGAGCAUGUGGUUUAAUUCGAAGCAACGCGAAGAACCUUACCAGGUCUUGACAUCCUCUGACAAUCCUAGAGAUAGGACGUCCCCUUCGGGGGCAGAGUGACAGGUGGUGCAUGGUUGUCGUCAGCUCGUGUCGUGAGAUGUUGGGUUAAGUCCCGCAACGAGCGCAACCCUUGAUCUUAGUUGCCAGCAUUCAGUUGGGCACUCUAAGGUGACUGCCGGUGACAAACCGGAGGAAGGUGGGGAUGACGUCAAAUCAUCAUGCCCCUUAUGACCUGGGCUACACACGUGCUACAAUGGACAGAACAAAGGGCAGCGAAACCGCGAGGUUAAGCCAAUCCCACAAAUCUGUUCUCAGUUCGGAUCGCAGUCUGCAACUCGACUGCGUGAAGCNGGAAUCGCUAGUAAUCGNGNUCAGC